GACUUGACCUCAAAUC
RNAcentral lists this ribosomal RNA (16 nucleotides) under Hodophilus foetens. RNAcentral describes it as "partial 25S large subunit ribosomal RNA". Lineage: Eukaryota; Fungi; Basidiomycota; Agaricomycetes; Agaricales; Clavariaceae. The record is from RNAcentral.